UUGAAUGCUGGCGGCAGGCCUAACACAUGCAAGUCGAGCGGAUGACGGGAGCUUGCUCCUUGAUUCAGCGGCGGACGGGUGAGUAAUGCCUAGGAAUCUGCCUGGUAGUGGGGGACAACGUUUCGAAAGGAACGCUAAUACCGCAUACGUCCUACGGGAGAAAGCAGGGGACCUUCGGGCCUUGCGCUAUCAGAUGAGCCUAGGUCGGAUUAGCUAGUUGGUGGGGUAAUGGCUCACCAAGGCGACGAUCCGUAACUGGUCUGAGAGGAUGAUCAGUCACACUGGAACUGAGACACGGUCCAGACUCCUACGGGAGGCAGCAGUGGGGAAUAUUGGACAAUGGGCGAAAGCCUGAUCCAGCCAUGCCGCGUGUGUGAAGAAGGUCUUCGGAUUGUAAAGCACUUUAAGUUGGGAGGAAGGGCAGUAAGUUAAUACCUUGCUGUUUUGACGUUACCGACAGAAUAAGCACCGGCUAACUCUGUGCCAGCCGCCGCAGUAA
This 499-nucleotide ribosomal RNA is filed under the name uncultured bacterium. Its description in RNAcentral is "partial 16S ribosomal RNA". It matches the Rfam family "Bacterial small subunit ribosomal RNA", at positions 30 to 523 of the family's 1533-position model. The record is from RNAcentral.